CGGGCUGGCGGCGGGCGGCGGGGCGGCAGCUGCGCGUGCGCAGAGCCGGGCGGGCCGGGGCCGGCGUCGGCCGCCGCUUCUGGCCGGAGACCAGGCCCUGUCUUCGGAGCGAGACCGCGUCCCCCGUCCUUUUGAGCUGGCCACUUGGGAUGGGGACGGGGAACUGCGAAGUGAUGUCCUUUCGGAAGAAGCGGAGGCCCGUGAACCCUGAACUUUGGCCCCUGACCCGGGGCGCUUUGGUUUAGGGCAGAGAAACUCCCACGUCGGCGCUUCCUCCCCACUCCGCGCAGGCUUGCAGAACCCGGCGGUUCACGUGAGCUAAAGGAGCUCCAAAUCAACAAGGAGCGGGCCUUACUGUAUUUGGCUGCCAAGGAACAACCUCACUUCCCUCCCUCCUCACGCCCCGCUUCGCUUGCUCCUCGGCCCCGCGGAAUUUUACGCUGGGGUUGGCCUGCAACACGCAGGAGACAGCCAGGAACUCUGCGGCGUAGUCCUUUAAUGCCAGUAAACGCACCACGCACAGUCUUCAGUCUUUAACGCGAGCCUAGUGCUGUGGGCCCGGAUAGCUCAGUCGGUAGAGCAUCAGACUUUUAAUCUGAGGGUCCAGGGUUCAAGUCCCUGUUCGGGCGCGUCCCUUUUUUUCUUUUUCCAUACUUUGGAAAAAAAAGACACCAAAAACAUGCGAACUAGUUUUACUAAUAAAAAUCCUGGAGUGUGUAUGUUGCGGUCUCCAACCGCUCCCAAUCCGGGUCCUCCACAGGGGAAAGCACACAUGGGCGUUUGGAAAGUGCCAUUCCAUUCUCUGCGCAGACCUGGGUUGAUUGUGCAAUGGGAAGCGGACGUGCCCUCCGGGAGUCUGGUAGCCCCUCCUUUAUGGAUCCGCUGCUUCUCCCGCUGACUUUCCUUGGGUGUUCUGCUAGGUGCCUGAGGAAUGGGUCCUGCAGCUUCACCACCCCUCCACGCUCCUUAUCUGCCAAGAAGGUUUUGGUGCACUCUGAAACAGGAAGAGGGGAAGAGACCAGGUGCAUCCCUGGCUUAGCUGAGCUGACCCCGGCGUCCUCUCUGACGGCCUGGAAACGUGGCCUGAAGGAGCCAGCGCUCUCUCAGCGCAGGGACCCCCGAGCCCUGAUAGACCACAAAGACCAGAAAGCACAACUGCUUGUUUGACCUAAGUUCCUAAGAGGAAGGUCCCGGGUCUAGGGCAUUCGUGGCGCGUGGAGCCUGAAGUGUCCUGUGGGCUGAGUGAUGAAUGAUGAGGUUUCCCAUCACGAGUCGAUGGGCAUUUGUUGAGUGCACACCGCCUACAGCUAAGCAGGCUCGAGAGGGUGCAGAGCCCCGCUGCUGAGAGUCGGCCGAGCCUCCCAGGGGGUGAUGGCGACCGGUCCCGGAGAGAACCUGACAGAGGGAACCGCGAAUGGGAAGUGACAUUUCUUACUUUGUUAGGGAGUCUGACCACGUCCCAGAAGCUCCCAUCGAAAGAUCUGGAACAGGCUGGAUUUUAUCUUCAGAGCCCUAUGACCUUGGCAUUGGACUUGGCAUAGCUGUGUCCUGGAUGUACUUAAUGAGCCGAUUUUGGAAUUCAUUUUGCUGCUUUAUCA
Molecule: long non-coding RNA, 1598 nt
Organism: Oryctolagus cuniculus (rabbit)
Lineage: Eukaryota; Metazoa; Chordata; Mammalia; Lagomorpha; Leporidae
Source: RefSeq, a predicted model, not a curated record